CGGGUGAGUAACACGUGGAUAACCUACCUAUAAGACUGGGAUAACUUCAGGAAACCGGAGCUAAUACCGGAUAAUAUAUUGAACCGCAUGGUUCAAUAGUGAAAGACGGUUUUGCUGUUACUUAUAGAUGGAUCCGCGCCGCAUUAGCUAGUUGGUAAGGUAACGGCUUACCAAGGCAACGAUGCGUAGCCGACCUGAGAGGGUGAUCGGCCACACUGGAACUGAGACACGGUCCAGACUCCUACGGGAGGCAGCAGCA
This 259-nucleotide ribosomal RNA is filed under the name uncultured Staphylococcus sp. RNAcentral's name for it is "partial 16S ribosomal RNA". It matches the Rfam family "Bacterial small subunit ribosomal RNA", at positions 103 to 355 of the family's 1533-position model. Lineage: Bacteria; Bacillati; Bacillota; Bacilli; Caryophanales; Staphylococcaceae. The record is from RNAcentral.